AGGAUUGGAGGACUCUAAAUUAAUAUCUAAGGGGAAUUUUCCAUUAGGAUCUGUGAGAAUAUCUGAGAAUAUCUAAGGGGCUUUUAUAUCAUUCUAAAUUAAUUAAAUAAUAAUAAUAAUCGCUUUGUUUAAAAAGUAACUAUAUUUUGGAGCUUUCCUUUUCAUUUAACCUAGAGUAAGCUAGGAAAAAGGCAAUUCUUGAACAUGGGGUGAGACAUUCUCACUAAUUUGUAAAUAAAACCAAUUUGUUAUUUAGAAUGAUUUAUUUCUGGAGAAACCUUUAUUAUUUAGCAGACAUCACUUGCUUAUAUUCAUGAAGAUGAUGAGCGAUCGGCAAAGGCAAUCUGUAAUCUGCUGGCAUCACGGCACAACAUCGACAUCGCUCUAAUUACAGUCAGAAGACAGUUGAAGAAACUUGCGUGGACUUGGAAAGGCUCGGUAAAAAUGUUUUUAUUUAUAUAUUUUUUUUAAUUAUCAGAACAUUAACCAUGUGUGUUCGCUUGUUUUGUACUGUUCUGUAGUUUCAACCCAAUGAUUCGUUUGACAAACAAAGAACUUUGCGUCCUGCAGGCCCAGGCAUGGAUCAAAGCUGGCGAGACAUUCAAUAAUGUCAUCUUCACAGACGAAUCAACCGUGGUCCUUGAACAAAAGGAAGAAGAUCAAGCAAGCCGAGUCCCAAGCAUCCGCUCAAACUCCAUGUGUGGGGGGCAAUUUCUCGCCAAGCACCAGGCCCAUAUUGGAUUUUUGAUGAUAUCAUGGCUCGAGAUUUCUUAGAGUAACAUGACGGUCAGAGAGGUGUUUCUGGGUACACAGUUUCUUUCAAGACAAUGACCCAAAACACACUGCCGCCCGGGUUUGCAUUGCAAAUAAGGCCAUAAACUGGGUCAAGACGCCAGCAGAGUCUCCUGAUUUAAACCCGAUCGAACUUGUUUGGCAUCAACUGAAAACACACAACUCUGCCAAGCCGACAGGCAAAGAUGAACUGGUCAAGGCCAUCAAGAUGUUUUGGCUAGAGAAAUUGACGAUGCAACAAUGUAACAAAUACAUUGAUCAUCUCAACAAGGUUUUACCUGUGGUCGUGGAGCUGGGUGGAAGUGUGACUAAAAUGUGGUUAAUAUAAACAUCCGCAUUUGAAUGUCUUUUUUCUCGUUAUUUUAUUAACAAAAGCAUAAAGAUGUUGAUGAACAAAUACUGUACUGCUGUUUUGAGUUAGAAAGGUAACACUUUAGAGUACUUAAGCAUGGAAUACAUUGCAAGUUGAGGCAUUUUCACAACAGUAGCCGGGUUAUAAAACGUCUAUUGUCCUGCUAAUAGGAAACAUUUGCAUGAUGGGCUACACCUGCUCAUGUGUGAUGUCUUCACUAUUAUUCUACAAUGUAGAAAAUAGUAAAAAUAUAGAAAAAUCCUGGAAUGAGUAGGCAUGUCCAAACUUUUGACUGGUACUUCCUUAAUUAAUUAGAUUAAUAUUAUGGUGUUUCUAUUCCAUGAAAACAAAAAACCUUCUGGGUUUCUGUAAGGAUGGAACGGAAAAUAUGGCGCUGUACAACGUGACAUUGGCAGUACAGUACUGGGCUACUUAGCUAAAGAAUUCCUGUGUCGUGCGAACGGGAGACCGGUUGCAAUUGUAAGUAGGCCUAAUAAAAAACAUCCUACUUCUAUUUGGCUGUUAAGCCUCAUAGCUUACCUCAGCCAGUUAAGUUAUUUUAUAUAGGUCUCCUAAGAAAUAUACUCCAAUUAAGCAAAUAGACUCCAAUUAAGCCCUCUUGUUGUUUGUAAAGUAAAAUUAAAAUGAAGAUUAUUGUUGAAAUGAA
This is a long non-coding RNA of Salmo salar (Atlantic salmon), 1811 nucleotides long. RefSeq lists it as uncharacterized. NCBI's taxonomy places the organism in Eukaryota, Metazoa, Chordata, Actinopteri, Salmoniformes, Salmonidae. The record is from RefSeq and is a predicted model, not a curated record.